RNAcentral lists this ribosomal RNA (369 nucleotides) under Atlanta sp. USNM IZ 1450659. Its description in RNAcentral is "SSU rRNA". It matches the Rfam family "Eukaryotic small subunit ribosomal RNA", at positions 51 to 414 of the family's 1831-position model. Lineage: Eukaryota; Metazoa; Mollusca; Gastropoda; Littorinimorpha; Atlantidae. The record is from RNAcentral.
AUGCAUGUCUAAGUUCACACCCUUGUACGGUGAAACCGCGAAUGGCUCAUUAAAUCAGUCGAGGUUCCUUAGAUGAUCCCCAUCUACUUGGAUAACUGUGGUAAUUCUAGAGCUAAUACAUGGCUACCUGCUCCGACCCUCGUGGAAAGAGCGCUUUUAUUAGUUAAAAACCAGUCGGGCUUUCGGGUCCGUCCUUUGGUGACUCUGGAUAACUUUGUGCCGAUCGCAUGGCCUUGAGCCGGCGACGCAUCUUUCAAAUGUCUGCCCUAUCAAAUGACGAUGGUACGUGAUCUGCCUACCAUGUUAACAACGGGUAACGGGGAAUCAGGGUUCGAUUCCGGAGAGGGAGCAUGAGAAACGGCUACCACA